CGUUGAAAGAUAAACUAGGUUUCUGCUAUAUUUUAGGGUUUCACUCUAUAAAGUCUCUCCACAACUUUUGUCGGAUCGCUUCUGCCGCCGAUCUCUUCCGUUAGCCGCAGCCAUGGUGAAGUACUCACAAGAACCUGACAAUCAGACCAAGUCUUGCAAGGCUAGAGGAUCCGAUCUUAGAGUUCACUUCAAGAACACUCGGGAAACAGCGCACGCCAUCAGGAAGCUACCAUUGCUCAAGGCCAAGAGGUACCUUGAGGAUGUGAUAGCUCACAAGCAGGCUAUUCCUUUCACCCGUUUCUGCAGAGGUGUUGGAAGGACUGCUCAAGCUAAGAACAGGCACUCCAACGGUCAAGGACGUUGGCCUGCUAAAUCUGCUCAGUUUGUUCUUGAUUUGCUCAAGAACGCUGAGAGCAAUGCUGAGGUGAAAGGUCUGGAUGUUGAUGCCCUAUUCAUUUCGCACAUCCAAGUGAACCAGGCUGCGAAACAGAGGAGAAGGACUUACCGUGCUCAUGGAAGAAUCAACCCUUACAUGUCCAACCCAUGCCACAUUGAGUUGAUUUUGUCUGAGAAGGAAGAGUCUGUCAAGAAAGAGCCGGAGACCCAGUUGGCAGCCAAGUCGAAGAAAUCAAGUGCUUAAGCUUUCUUUGUUUUUUAGUUUCUACUUUUUGUGUUCGUGAAAGAGAUUUUGCUCCCUUUUCUCCCAUCUUUGCAAGACAAUGGAUAGAUUUUCUUGGAUUAUUAUUGUUGGUGUUAUGAAAAUUAUCUUUGCGUUUGUAGUAUUUAAUUCUAUCUUAAUAUUUUUGCUAAAAUUA
This is an RNA transcript of Raphanus sativus (radish), 815 nucleotides long. It is a transcript of the gene named 60S ribosomal protein L17-2, with no coding region annotated. The transcript is spliced from 7 exons. The record is from RefSeq and is a predicted model, not a curated record. NCBI's taxonomy places the organism in Eukaryota, Viridiplantae, Streptophyta, Magnoliopsida, Brassicales, Brassicaceae.